RNAcentral lists this ribosomal RNA (1184 nucleotides) under Enterococcus faecium. Its description in RNAcentral is "partial 23S ribosomal RNA". It matches the Rfam family "Bacterial large subunit ribosomal RNA", at positions 1 to 1187 of the family's 2925-position model. The record is from RNAcentral. Lineage: Bacteria; Bacillati; Bacillota; Bacilli; Lactobacillales; Enterococcaceae.
GGUUAAGUGAAUAAGGGCGCACGGUGGAUGCCUUGGCACUAGGAGCCGAUGAAGGACGGGACUAACACCGAUAUGCUUUGGGGAGCUGUACGUAAGCUAUGAUCCAGAGAUUUCCGAAUGGGGGAACCCAGCAUCUUUAAUAGGAUGUUACGAUUGUGUGAAUACAUAGCACAUUCGAGGUAGACGCAGAGAACUGAAACAUCUAAGUACCUGCAGGAAGAGAAAGAAAAUUCGAUUCCCUGAGUAGCGGCGAGCGAAACGGGAAAAGCCCAAACCAGCAAGCUUGCUUGUUGGGGUUGUAGGACUCCAAUAUGGUAGUUCUUUCAGAUAGUCGAAUGACUUGGAAAAGUCAGUCAAAGAGGGUAAAAACCCCGUAGACGAAAUGUGGAAGACACCUAGGAGGAUCCUGAGUACGGCGGAACACGAGAAAUUCCGUCGGAAUCCGGGAGGACCAUCUCCCAAGGCUAAAUACUCCCUAGUGACCGAUAGUGAACCAGUACCGUGAGGGAAAGGUGAAAAGCACCCCGGAAGGGGAGUGAAAUAGAACCUGAAACCGUGUGCCUACAACAAGUCAAAGCCCGUUAAUGGGUGAUGGCGUGCCUUUUGUAGAAUGAACCGGCGAGUUACGAUUGCAUGCGAGGUUAAGUUGAAGAGACGGAGCCGCAGCGAAAGCGAGUCUGAAUAGGGCGUUUGAGUAUGUAGUCGUAGACCCGAAACCAUGUGAUCUACCCAUGUCCAGGUUGAAGGUGCGGUAAAACGCACUGGAGGACCGAACCCACGUACGUUGAAAAGUGCGGGGAUGAGGUGUGGGUAGCGGAGAAAUUCCAAACGAACUUGGAGAUAGCUGGUUCUCUCCGAAAUAGCUUUAGGGCUAGCCUCGGAAUUGAGAAUGAUGGAGGUAGAGCACUGUUUGGACUAGGGGCCCAUCUCGGGUUACCGAAUUCAGAUAAACUCCGAAUGCCAUUCAUUCAUAUCCGGGAGUCAGACUGUGAGUGAUAAGAUCCAUAGUCGAAAGGGAAACAGCCCAGACCACCAGCUAAGGUCCCAAAAUAUAUGUUAAGUGGAAAAGGAUGUGGGGUUGCACAGACAACUAGGAUGUUGGCUUAGAAGCAGCCACCAUUUAAAGAGUGCGUAAUAGCUCACUAGUCGAGUGACCCUGCGCCGAAAAUGUACCGGGGCUAAAC